RNAcentral lists this ribosomal RNA (245 nucleotides) under uncultured bacterium. RNAcentral describes it as "partial small subunit ribosomal RNA". It matches the Rfam family "Bacterial small subunit ribosomal RNA", at positions 26 to 285 of the family's 1533-position model. The record is from RNAcentral.
AGAAUCAACGCUGGCGGCGUGCCUAACACAUGCAAGUCGAACGAGAAAGUGGAGCAAUCCAUGAGUACAGUGGCGCACGGGUGAGUAACACGUGACUAACCUACCCUUGAGUGGGGGAUAACCUAGGGAAACCUGGGCUAAUACCGCAUAAUACCUUCGGGUCAAAGGAGCAAUUCGCUUUAGGAGGGGGUCGCGGCCGAUUAGUUAGUUGGCGGGGUAAUGGCCCACCAAGACUGUGAUCGGUA